Glycine soja is the source of this 1189-nucleotide long non-coding RNA. RefSeq lists it as uncharacterized. NCBI's taxonomy places the organism in Eukaryota, Viridiplantae, Streptophyta, Magnoliopsida, Fabales, Fabaceae. The record is from RefSeq and is a predicted model, not a curated record. The transcript has 4 exons.
AGGAAUUAAAAUUCCUCCGUCUAUAGAAACACUCUCCGUAGUGCUCUAUCUCCCUCUCAGCACACCACCAGCUCUCUCCCUCUCAGCGCACACACGCGUAGCUCUCUCUUCCCCUCUCAGCAACGUCACGAGCUACCACCUCCCUUUCCGUAGCUUUUCUUCCUCUCACUGGUUAAAAUAAGUGACAUUAAUUUCAAUGGAGUCAUCUACUAAAAAAAUGACGAGCAAAAAAAAAAGUUUUAGGAAAAAAUAAUGAGGAAACAAGAAGUUAUUUUACAUGGAAUUUGGAGAUGGAAAGCGUAUUAACUGAUGUACUAAGAGAUCAAAGGAAUUUGGGCAACAAGGGUGACGGAGGUUGGAAAAGGUCAGCAUUGAAUACUGCAGCCGCAGUGUUGUCUACAAGCUUCAAUGUUUAAUGUCAGAUCAGAUAAUGUCAAAAACCGUAUCAAAUUAUGGAGAUCGUGGUAUGGUAUUGUAAGUGACAUCCUUGGCCAGAGUGGGUUUGAUUGGGAUGGCACUAAACACAUGAUCACAGUUGAGAAUGAAAAUGCUUGGAAUGAAUAUUGUAUUUCGUACAAAUCGGCUAAACCGUUUCAAUUCAAGGUGCUUCAAAACUGGGAUGACAUAGUGUGGAUUGGAGAAAAAGAAGGAAUAGCAGCUUCUUUGGAUAAAAUGGUCAACUCUUUUGACAGAAUGCUAGAAAAAAUAGAUGGUAAAGUCGAUGAUGAAGAUAUUCAAGAAGUGUUACGUGAGGCAAAUUUGAUACUAGAUUUUAAUAGACAACAAUGGGCUAAAGCUAUUAAAUGGUUAACUGAUGACCCAAAGCAAUUAGUUAUUGUGAAAUACUUCCAAUUCACGAAAAGACAGAUUAUGUUUUAACACAUCUUGCAAAAUGAAACUUGGUUAUUGUGAACAAAGAAUAGAGAGGAGAAAUUUCAUUCUUACAAAGCAAGAAAAAAAUUGAUUAUUCUAAGAUUGUUUGAUUAUGUUGUUUGUUUUGGACCCUCUAAUUUGCAAAAUAAUUCAUGAAUUAUUGAGUAUUAUAAGUGAAGUGACAUCAAUGUUGAUGAUAUAUAAUUUUAGGUCUUGAUAUGGAUUGAAGUAUUUUCUUCUCUUACAAACAAUGAAAUUAAUAUCAAUGUUUGAAUUUUGUAUGAGAUAAUUAUCCUUAAAUUAUGUAAUUGUUUAA